Molecule: ribosomal RNA, 474 nt
Filed under: uncultured bacterium
Lineage: Bacteria
Description: bacterial SSU rRNA
Rfam family: Bacterial small subunit ribosomal RNA
Source: RNAcentral
ACUCCUACGGGAGGCAGCAGUAGGGAAUCUUCCACAAUGGACGAAAGUCUGAUGGAGCAACGCCGCGUGAACGAUGAAGGCUUCGGUCGGUAAAGUUACUGUUGUAAGGGAAGAACAAGUGCCGCAGGCAAUGGCGGCACCUUGACGGUACCUUGCGAGAAAGCCACGGCUAACUACGUGCCAGCAGCCGCGGUAAUACGUAGGUGGCAAGCGUUGUCCGGAAUUAUUGGGCGUAAAGCGCGCGCAGGCGGCCUCUUAAGUCUGAUGUGAAAGCCCCGGCUCAACCGGGGGAGGGCCAUUGGAAACUGGGAGGCUUGAGUAUAGGAGAGAAGAGUGGAAUUCCACGUGUAGCGGUGAAAUGCGUAGAGAUGUGGAGGAACACCAGUGGCGAAGGCGACUCUUUGGCCUAUAACUGACGCUGAGGCGCGAAAGCGUGGGGAGCGAAACAGGAUUAGAUACCCUGGUAGGAUAGCC